RNAcentral lists this ribosomal RNA (429 nucleotides) under uncultured Paracoccaceae bacterium. Its description in RNAcentral is "bacterial SSU rRNA". It matches the Rfam family "Bacterial small subunit ribosomal RNA", at positions 29 to 505 of the family's 1533-position model. Lineage: Bacteria; Pseudomonadati; Pseudomonadota; Alphaproteobacteria; Rhodobacterales; Paracoccaceae. The record is from RNAcentral.
AACGAACGCUGGCGGCAGGCCUAAUACAUGCAAGUCGAGCGCACCUUCGGGUGAGCGGCGGACGGGUGAGUAACGCGUGGGAACAUACCUUUUGGUGCGGAAUAGCCUCGGGAAACUGAGAGUAAUACCGCAUGUGCCCUUAGGGGGAAAGAUUUAUCGCCAAGAGAUUGGCCCGCGUCUGAUUAGAUAGUUGGUGGGGUAACGGCCUACCAAGUCGACGAUCAGUAGCUGGUUUGAGAGGAUGAUCAGCCACACUGGGACUGAGACACGGCCCAGACUCCUACGGGAGGCAGCAGUAGGGAAUCUUAGACAAUGGGGGAAACCCUGAUCUAGCCAUGCCGCGUGUGUGAUGACGGCCUUAGGGUUGUAAAGCACUUUCGCCGGGGAAGAUAAUGACGGUACCCGGUAAAGAAGUCCCGGCUAACUCCG